This 468-nucleotide ribosomal RNA is filed under the name uncultured bacterium. RNAcentral's name for it is "partial 16S ribosomal RNA". It matches the Rfam family "Bacterial small subunit ribosomal RNA", at positions 28 to 507 of the family's 1533-position model. The record is from RNAcentral.
GACGAACGCUGGCGGCGUGCUUAACACAUGCAAGUCGAACGGAAAGGCCCUGCUUUUGUGGGGUGCUCGAGUGGCGAACGGGUGAGUAACACGUGAGUAACCUGCCCUUGACUUUGGGAUAACUUCAGGAAACUGGGGCUAAUACCGGAUAGGAGCUCCUGCUGCAUGGUGGGGGUUGGAUCGUUUCGGCGGUUGGGGAUGGACUCGCGGCUUAUCAGCUUGUUGGUGGGGUAGUGGCUUACCAAGGCUUUGACGGGUAGCCGGCCUGAGAGGGUGACCGGCCACAUGAGGACUGAGAUACGGCCCAGACUGCUACGGGAUGCAGUAGUGGGGAAUAUUGCACAAUGGGCGGAAGCCUGAUGCAGCAACGCCGCGUGCGGGAUGACGGCCUUCGGGUUGUAAACCGCUUUCGCCUGUGACGAAGCGUGAGUGACGGUAAUGGGUAAAGAAGCACCGGCUAACUACGUG